This 497-nucleotide ribosomal RNA is filed under the name uncultured bacterium. Its description in RNAcentral is "partial 16S ribosomal RNA". It matches the Rfam family "Bacterial small subunit ribosomal RNA", at positions 28 to 507 of the family's 1533-position model. The record is from RNAcentral.
GAUGAACGCUGGCGGCGUGCCUAAUACAUGCAAGUCGAGCGAACAGAUGAGGAGCUUGCUCCUCUGACGUUAGCGGCGGACGGGUGAGUAACACGUGGAUAACCUACCUAUAAGACUGGGAUAACUUCGGGAAACCGGAGCUAAUACCGGAUAAUAUAUUGAACCGCAUGGUUCAAUAGUGAAAGACGGUUUUGCUGUCACUUAUAGAUGGAUCCGCGCCGCAUUAGCUAGUUGGUAAGGAAACGGCUUACCAAGGCAACGAUGCGUAGCCGACCUGAGAGGGUGAUCGGCCACACUGGAACUGAGACACGGUCCAGACUCCUACGGGAGGCAGCAGUAGGGAAUCUUCCGCAAUGGGCGAAAGCCUGACGGAGCAACGCCGCGUGAGUGAUGAAGGUCUUCGGAUCGUAAAACUCUGUUAUUAGGGAAGAACAAAUGUGUAAGUAACUAUGCACGUCUUGACGGUACCUAAUCAGAAAGCCACGGCUAACUACGUG